CAUAUUCAAUUUCUCUGGUGCCAUUCCAUCAGGUAGCUUCCAACUAAAUGGUUGAAUAAUAGAAGCCAACAUCAAAUUCACCAUCCUUAUAGCAAGUGGCAAUCCAGGACAAAUUCUUCUGCCGGCGCCAAACGGUAUAAACUCAAAGUCCCUACCUUUGUAAUCCACACUAGACUCGGUGAAUCUUUCAGGCAUAAAUUCCAGUGGCUUUUCCCAGGAUUUUGGAUCUCUUCCGAUUGCCCAAGCAUUCACGAGAACUUGAGUGUUCUUUGGCACAGUGUAGCCCAACACUUCUAUAUCAUUUUGG
RNAcentral lists this long non-coding RNA (307 nucleotides) under Nicotiana benthamiana. Its description in RNAcentral is "long non-coding RNA (NBEN_LNC039651)". The record is from RNAcentral. Lineage: Eukaryota; Viridiplantae; Streptophyta; Magnoliopsida; Solanales; Solanaceae.